RNAcentral lists this ribosomal RNA (279 nucleotides) under uncultured bacterium. RNAcentral describes it as "partial 16S ribosomal RNA". It matches the Rfam family "Bacterial small subunit ribosomal RNA", at positions 506 to 784 of the family's 1533-position model. The record is from RNAcentral.
UGCCAGCAGCCGCGGUAAUACGGAGGGUCCAAGCGUUAAUCGGAAUUACUGGGCGUAAAGCGCGCGUAGGCGGCUUGACAAGUUGGGUGUGAAAUCCCCGGGCUUAACCUGGGAACUGCAUUCAAAACUUAUAAGCUAGAGUACGGGAGAGGAGAGUAGAAUUCAUGGUGUAGCGGUGAAAUGCGUAGAUAUCAUGAGGAAUACCAAUGGCGAAGGCAACUCUCUGGACCGUAACUGACGCUGAGGUGCGAAAGCGUGGGUAGCAAACAGGAUUAGAUA